AUACGGAGGGUGCAAGCGUUAAUCGGAAUUACUGGGCGUAAAGGGUUCGUAGGCGGUUAUUUAAGUCAGAUGUGAAAGCCCCGGGCUCAACCUGGGAAUUGCAUCUGAUACUGGGUAACUAGAGUUUAAGAGAGGAGUGUGGAAUUUCCGGUGUAGCGGUGAAAUGCAUAGAGAUCGGAAGGAACAUCAGUGGCGAAGGCGGCACUCUGGCUUAAAACUGACGCUGAGGAACGAAAGCGUGGGUAGCAAACAGGAUUAGAUACCCUAGUAGUCC
This 274-nucleotide ribosomal RNA is filed under the name uncultured bacterium. RNAcentral's name for it is "partial 16S ribosomal RNA". It matches the Rfam family "Bacterial small subunit ribosomal RNA", at positions 523 to 796 of the family's 1533-position model. The record is from RNAcentral.